This 478-nucleotide ribosomal RNA is filed under the name uncultured bacterium. RNAcentral's name for it is "partial 16S ribosomal RNA". It matches the Rfam family "Bacterial small subunit ribosomal RNA", at positions 28 to 523 of the family's 1533-position model. The record is from RNAcentral.
GACGAACGCUGGCGGCGUGCUUAACACAUGCAAGUCGAACGGUAAGGCCCUUCGGGGUACACGAGUGGCGAACGGGUGAGUAACACGUGGGUGAUCUGCCCUGCACUUCGGGAUAAGCCUGGGAAACUGGGUCUAAUACCGGAUAGGACCUCGCACUUCACGGUGUGUGGGGGGAAGCUUUUGCGGUGUGGGAUGGGCCCGCGGCCUAUCAGCUUGUUGGUGGGGUAAUGGCCUACCAAGGCGACGACGGGUAGCCGGCCUGAGAGGGUGACCGGCCACACUGGGACUGAGAUACGGCCCAGACUCCUACGGGAGGCAGCAGUGGGGAAUAUUGCACAAUGGGCGCAAGCCUGAUGCAGCGACGCCGCGUGAGGGAUGACGGCCUUCGGGUUGUAAACCUCUUUCAGUAGGGACGAAGCGCAAGUGACGGUACCUACAGAAGAAGGACCGGCCAACUACGUGCCAGCAGCCGCGGUAA